This 371-nucleotide ribosomal RNA is filed under the name uncultured organism. Its description in RNAcentral is "bacterial SSU rRNA". It matches the Rfam family "Bacterial small subunit ribosomal RNA", at positions 526 to 896 of the family's 1533-position model. The record is from RNAcentral.
CGUAGGGUGCGAGCGUUAAUCGGAAUUACUGGGCGUAAAGCGUGCGCAGGCGGUUUUGUAAGACAGAUGUGAAAUCCCCGGGCUCAACCUGGGACCUGCAUUUGUGACUGCAAGGCUAGAGUACGGUAGAGGGGGAUGGAAUUCCGCGUGUAGCAGUGAAAUGCGUAGAUAUGCGGAGGAACACCGAUGGCGAAGGCAAUCCCCCUGGACCUGUACUGACGCUCAUGCACGAAAGCGUGGGGAGCAAACAGGAUUAGAUACCCUGGUAGUCCACGCCCUAAACGAUGUCAACUGGUUGUUGGGUCUUUACUGACUCAGUAACGAAGCUAACGCGUGAAGUUGACCGCCUGGGGAGUACGGCCGCAAGGUUG